Molecule: non-coding RNA, 74 nt
Organism: Dallia pectoralis (Alaska blackfish)
Lineage: Eukaryota; Metazoa; Chordata; Actinopteri; Esociformes; Umbridae
Source: the annotation of a GenBank genome assembly
GGCACUGUGGCUUAGUUGGUUAAAGCGCCUGUCUUGUAAACAGGAGAUCCUGAGUUCCGACCUUAGCAGCGCUU